RNAcentral lists this ribosomal RNA (734 nucleotides) under Triticum aestivum (bread wheat). RNAcentral describes it as "partial small subunit ribosomal RNA". Lineage: Eukaryota; Viridiplantae; Streptophyta; Magnoliopsida; Poales; Poaceae. The record is from RNAcentral.
UACCUAAUAAGGAGAAGGUGUGUCAAGGAAGGUUUUCCUAUAAGAAGCCUACUCGUUUAGCUAACGAAGGCCGCUGGACGACCCGAUUCUAAGAGUGACCUAGGCGAGAACGCGGUUCCUACGCCACCGCGGCGGCCGCCGGCGUGCCUCUGCGGCCGUGUCCGCUCGAAAGCGCUCCACUUGGUUCAUCGAUAGCUGGACGCACCUCGUCGCGCCGCGUCGUCCGUGGUUCCUCGCCUUGGACCCACGUAGUCACGCCGUUCAUCGUCACGUCCAUAACCUCCGAAGAUGUUAUAGUACAGAAUCUUCUCAAGGCUAAGUAAUGGAGUAGACAACCCAACAGCACGGAUUAAGGUCUUUUGUACCACAAGUAUUCCUCCAACGUUUCUGUACGUCCCUACCUUUCUACAUUUAUCUGGAGUUCUAAAUUCGAUAUAUAUAAUGGGUUUGAACUACAAAGACAGCAAAGAAGAAGGCAGGAAGCUACACGACCCGCAGGGCUGCAUACAGCGGGGAAGCUAAACACACCUAUACAAUAACACACCUAGAGGGAAGUUACCCACAAGACCGCAGAUAAUAAGGCACCGACAAGACCCCACAAACGGGGUUGGAAAUAUAAUCAGUUUCCAACGACCCAAACUUAAGACAUGCCUGCUGACAGGCGACAUUUAAUAAAACAAACGUUAUCAUGUGCUGGUAUAGGAACUGUUAUCGUUAGGUAAAGUCUCAGGAGG